Molecule: ribosomal RNA, 425 nt
Filed under: uncultured bacterium
Lineage: Bacteria
Description: partial 16S ribosomal RNA
Rfam family: Bacterial small subunit ribosomal RNA
Source: RNAcentral
GUGGGGAAUCUUGCGCAAUGGGCGAAAGCCUGACGCAGCCAUGCCGCGUGAAUGAUGAAGGUCUUAGGAUUGUAAAAUUCUUUCACCGGGGACGAUAAUGACGGUACCCGGAGAAGAAGCUCCGGCUAACUUCGUGCCAGCAGCCGCGGUAAUACGAAGGGGGCUAGCGUUGCUCGGAAUUACUGGGCGUAAAGGGCGCGUAGGCGGACAGCUUAGUCAGAGGUGAAAGCCCAGGGCUCAACCUUGGAAUUGCCUUUGAUACUGGCUGUCUUGAGUGUGGGAGAGGUGAGUGGAACUCCGAGUGUAGAGGUGAAAGUCGUAGAUAUUCGGAAGAACACCAGUGGCGAAGGCGACUCACUGGCCCAAUACUGACGCUGAGGCGCGAAAGCGUGGGGAGCAAACAGGAUUAGAAACCCGAGUAGUCC